Molecule: long non-coding RNA, 563 nt
Filed under: Ananas comosus (pineapple)
Lineage: Eukaryota; Viridiplantae; Streptophyta; Magnoliopsida; Poales; Bromeliaceae
Description: long non-coding RNA (ACOM_LNC003624)
Source: RNAcentral
UGUCACGCCCCGGGACCGGCGGAGGCCCUCCCGGUAGCGUGCCCAGACCCGCCAUAUGUCUACACAUAUAAGGCGUCUACAAGAAGCGGAAGUAAAAGCAAGAAAUGGAACAAAUAAAAGAAGUGAAAUAACAAGCAACUAAUGAUAUCAGAGUGAGUAAAGUUCUAACAUCUACACCAAGGUAAGGAAGUAAAGCUAGACAAUAAAAAGAGUCAUANCGGUACAAGCACAGCCUUGUACCGGUACAAGCCCGCCAGACAGCCAAUCCGAGAGCUGACCAAAAUCCAAAUUUUUGGGUUUUGGUGCAAGGCCUCGUACCACACUCCUCGGGACACGUGCCAUAGGUCGGAACACAGUCAACGAUCUACCAGCAAGUCUGGAAAAGCUCAGAACACAUCCAAUCACUCGAACCUCGCAAUUUGCAAAGGUCCAGUGUGUUACACUAAAUGCACAAUUUAUGGAGAUAAAAAUAAAAAGAAUUUAUUUUUUGAAGUUCCGAUGACAGAAAAUAAAGUUUUUCCUGUUCAUGUUACAAUGAAAGUAGUGCUAGAUGAUGAUUGGUG